This 253-nucleotide ribosomal RNA is filed under the name uncultured bacterium. Its description in RNAcentral is "partial 16S ribosomal RNA". It matches the Rfam family "Bacterial small subunit ribosomal RNA", at positions 524 to 776 of the family's 1533-position model. The record is from RNAcentral.
UACAGAGGGUGCAAGCGUUGUUCGGAAUCAUUGGGCGUAAAGCGUGCGUAGACGGUUAUGUAAGUCGGGUGUGAAAGCCCCGGGCUCAACCUGGGAAUUGCAUUCGAGACUGCAUAGCUAGGGUGCGGAAGAGGGAAGCGGAAUUUCCGGUGUAGCGGUGAAAUGCGUAGAUAUCGGAAGGAACACCAGUGGCGAAAGCGGCUUCCUGGUCCAGCACCGACGUUCAGGCACGAAAGCGUGGGGAGCAAACAGG